AUUGAACGCUGGCGGCAUGCUUUACACAUGCAAGUCGGACGGCAGCACAGAGAAGCUUGCUUCUUGGGUGGCGAGUGGCGAACGGGUGAGUAACAUAUCGGAACGUACCGAGUAAUGGGGGAUAACUAAUCGAAAGAUUAGCUAAUACCGCAUAUUCUCUGAGGAGGAAAGCAGGGGACCUUUUGGCCUUGCGUUAUUCGAGCGGCCGAUAUCUGAUUAGCUAGUUGGUGGGGUAAAGGCCUACCAAGGCGACGAUCAGUAGCGGGUCUGAGAGGAUGAUCCGCCACACUGGGACUGAGACACGGCCCAGACUCCUACGGGAGGCAGCAGUGGGGAAUUUUGGACAAUGGGCGCAAGCCUGAUCCAGCCAUGCCGCGUGUCUGAAGAAGGCCUUCGGGUUGUAAAGGACUUUUGUCAGGGAAGAAAAGGCUGUUGCUAAUAUCGACAGCUGAUGACGGUACCUGAAGAAUAAGCACCGGCUAACUACGUGCCAGCAGCCGCGGUAAUACGUAGGGUGCGAGCGUUAAUCGGAAUUACUGGGCGUAAAGCGAGCGCAGACGGUUACUUAAGCAGGGUGUGAAAUCCCCGGGCUCAACCUGGGAACUGCGUUCUGAACUGGGUGACUAGAGUGUGUCAGAGGGAGGUAGAAUUCCACGUGUAGCAGUGAAAUGCGUAGAGAUGUGGAGGAAUACCGAUGGCGAAGGCAGCCUCCUGGGAUAACACUGACGUUCAUGCUCGAAAGCGUGGGUAGCAAACAGG
Molecule: ribosomal RNA, 759 nt
Filed under: Neisseria subflava
Lineage: Bacteria; Pseudomonadati; Pseudomonadota; Betaproteobacteria; Neisseriales; Neisseriaceae
Description: bacterial SSU rRNA
Rfam family: Bacterial small subunit ribosomal RNA
Source: RNAcentral